UUUCUGCCUCAAUGAUCUGUCUAAUGCUGUCAGUGGAAUGUUGAAGACUCCCACUCUUAUUGUGUGGUUAUCUAAGUCUUUUUGUAGUCCAAGAAGAAUUGUUUCAUGAAUUGGGGUGCUCCAAUGUUGGAUCCACCAGGAAAACAGAGGAGUCUAUCUAGUGGGGGCACUUCUUCAUCUCCUCCUGCUGAGUGUGAGCAUACACUUGUGAAGAUGUGCAAGCCAGCCUUUCAUGCAUUUAUCUCCCUCCAUUUCAGACAACCAAUGUUUUAGUUGUCUGUUCCAAUUUUCUAUCAAACUAUUAUUCUGAGGAGGAGAUCUCUCUGCCCAUUGUUGGACAUUAUAGGCUAUAUUGCGUAUUUCUUGGCCUGAAGAAAUGUGAAUCUGCCAUCCAAAUUGGUGCAAUAUCUUCUAUUCCACUUCUUUUAUGGCAUUCUGAGUAUUUGCAUCUUCCACCAGCGUAAAAAUCCAUACUUCGGGAUUCGAUGAACUCUUGGAAAGCAUUUUCUGCAUCCUGCUGUUUGUGGAAGCAUUUUCUCCGCAAAAAGUUGUCAAGAUCCUUGAAGAAAUGGUAGACAAUUGGCUAGAGGUCAGAAUGGUCAAGUUGAGUUCUUCAGCAACUUCUCCCGUAGCUGUAAGAGGAUCAGCUUCGAUGAUUGUUCUCAAUUGGUCAGUGUUAACUUCUGAUGGCUGGUCACUACACUCCUGGUCUUCAAGGUUCAUGUCUCCUUUGCAAAACUUCUUGAACCACCACUGCACCGUAUGUUCAUUAGCAGUUCCUGGGCCAAAUGUGUUGUUGAUGUUGUGAGUUGUCUCCACUGCUUUACAACCCAUUUUCAACUAAAAAAAAAUCAUUCAAAUUUGCUUUUUGUCUAACAUUAUUUCCAUAGCCUAAAAUAAAUAUGAA
RNAcentral lists this long non-coding RNA (907 nucleotides) under Homo sapiens (human). RNAcentral's name for it is "HSALNT0386259". The record is from RNAcentral. Lineage: Eukaryota; Metazoa; Chordata; Mammalia; Primates; Hominidae.